RNAcentral lists this ribosomal RNA (253 nucleotides) under uncultured bacterium. RNAcentral's name for it is "partial 16S ribosomal RNA". It matches the Rfam family "Bacterial small subunit ribosomal RNA", at positions 524 to 776 of the family's 1533-position model. The record is from RNAcentral.
UACGAAGGGGGCUAGCGUUGCUCGGAAUCACUGGGCGUAAAGCGCACGUAGGCGGCUUUUUAAGUCAGAGGUGAAAUCCUGGAGCUCAAUUCCAGAACUGCCUUUGAUACUGGAGAGCUUGAGUCCGGGAGAGGUGAGUGGAACUGCGAGUGUAGAGGUGAAAUUCGUAGAUAUUCGCAAGAACACCAGUGGCGAAGGCGGCUCACUGGCCCGGUACUGACGCUGAGGUGCGAAAGCGUGGGGAGCAAACAGG